This is a long non-coding RNA of Homo sapiens (human), 210 nucleotides long. The record is from Ensembl. NCBI's taxonomy places the organism in Eukaryota, Metazoa, Chordata, Mammalia, Primates, Hominidae.
UUUUUUUUUUUUUUUUUUUGAGACAGUCUCACACUCUUGCCCAAGCUGGUAUAUAGGGGUGUGAUUUUGUCUCAGUGCAGCCUCAACCUCCUGGCUCAAGCAAUCCUCUCGAGUAGCUGGGACUACAGGCAUGAGCCACUACACCCUGCCUAAAGAUAAUAUCUUUAUAUGAAAAAUCAAUGCAAUGUUGAUAAGUCUUUACAUGUUUUU